AUUGAACGCUGGCGGCAGGCCUAACACAUGCAAGUCGAGCGGAUGAAGGGAGCUUGCUCCUGGAUUCAGCGGCGGACGGGUGAGUAAUGCCUAGGAAUCUGCCUGGUAGUGGGGGAUAACGUCCGGAAACGGGCGCUAAUACCGCAUACGUCCUGAGGGAGAAAGUGGGGGAUCUUCGGACCUCACGCUAUCAGAUGAGCCUAGGUCGGAUUAGCUAGUUGGUGGGGUAAAGGCCUACCAAGGCGACGAUCCGUAACUGGUCUGAGAGGAUGAUCAGUCACACUGGAACUGAGACACGGUCCAGACUCCUACGGGAGACAGCAGUGGGGAAUAUUGGACAAUGGGCGAAAGCCUGAUCCAGCCAUGCCGCGUGUGUGAAGAAGGUCUUCGGAUUGUAAAGCACUUUAAGUUGGGAGGAAGGGCAGUAAGUUAAUACCUUGUUGUUUUGACGUUACCAACAGAAUAAGCACCGGCUAACUUCGUG
RNAcentral lists this ribosomal RNA (484 nucleotides) under uncultured bacterium. Its description in RNAcentral is "partial 16S ribosomal RNA". It matches the Rfam family "Bacterial small subunit ribosomal RNA", at positions 30 to 507 of the family's 1533-position model. The record is from RNAcentral.